RNAcentral lists this ribosomal RNA (1502 nucleotides) under human gut metagenome. Its description in RNAcentral is "bacterial LSU rRNA". It matches the Rfam family "Bacterial large subunit ribosomal RNA", at positions 483 to 1983 of the family's 2925-position model. The record is from RNAcentral.
ACCGAUAGCGAACGAGUACUGUGAAGGAAAGGUGAAAAGAACCCCGAGCAGGGGAGUGAAAUAGUUCCUGAAACCAUACGCCUACAAGCGGUCGGAGCAUCGUAAGAUGUGACGGCGUGCCUUUUGCAUAAUGAUCCUACGAGUUACCGUCACUGGCGAGGUUGAGUGUCAUGAGACACGUAGCCGCAGUGAAAGCGAGCCUGAAUAGGGCGCACAGUCAGUGGGGGUAGACGCGAAACCAAGUGAUCUACACUUGGCCAGGAUGAAGUCCCGGUAACACGGGAUGGAGGUCCGCACCAAUAAGCGUUGAAAAGCUUCUGGAUGAGCCGAGUGUAGGAGUGAAAGGCCAAUCAAACUUGGAGAUAGCUCGUACUCCCCGAAAGGCAUUUAGGUGCCGCGUCGGAUGGUCACCGUGAGAGGUAGAGCGACCGAUAGGACAAGAGGGCUUCACCGCCUAUCGAGUCCUGACGAACUCCGAAUGCUCACGGUCUGCAGUCCGGCAGUAAGGGGGCGGGUGCUAAGGUCCGUCCCCGAGAGGAGAAGAAUCCAGACCGCCGUCUAAGGUCCCGGAGUUCUGCCUGAGUUAGUCUAACGAAGUCUGGUCCCUAUGACAGCUAGGAUGUUGGCUUGGAAGCAGCCAUUCAUUCAAAGAGUGCGUAACAGCUCACUAGUCGAGGGUCCGGGCAUGGAUAAUAAUCGGGUAUAAGGCAGACACCGAAGGCGCGGGAUAGCAAUUAUAAAAGUAUCGGUAGGGGAGCAUACUCACAGCGUCGAAUGGUGUACGUAAGUUAUCCUGGAGCGGUGAGUAAAGCAAAUGUAGGAAUAAGUAACGAUAAGGAGGGUUAGAUUCCCUCCCGCUGUAAGACCAAGGUUUCCCGGGCAAUGCCAAUCAGCCCGGGGUCAGUCGGGUCCUAAGUCUAAGCCGAACGGCGAUGGCGAUGGCAGAGACGGUUAAUAUUCCGUCACUGCCGCAUGGGGCGACGUGGAGACGGAGCAGUGAAACCACCGCGGGGCGACGGAAGUCCCCGUUGAAGGGUGUAGGCGUUGAGGAUGGCAGGCAAAUCCACCAUCCGAGCUGAACCUGACAGUACGGAGUCCUCCUCGGAGGAAUCUGAUAGUGUGGGUAAUCAUACUCCCGAGAAAAUCCGCUAAGCUUAACCCAUGCGGCACCCGUACCGCAAACGGACACACGUGGUCGGGUAGAACAUACUAAGGCGUUGAGAGAUUCAUGGUUAAGGAACUAGGCAAAUUGACCCUGUAACUUCGGGAUAAAGGGUCCUCGUGAUGAGCGAGGCGCAGAGAAUAGGUCCAGGCAACUGUUUAACAAAAACACAGGGCUGUGCAAACUCGAAAGAUGACGUAUACAGCCUGACACCUGCCCGGUGCCGGAAGGUUAAGAGGAGAUGUCACUCGCAAGAGGAAGCAUUGAAUUGAAGCCCCGGUAAACGGCGGCCGUAACUAUAACGGUCCUAAGGUAGCGAAAUUCCUUGUCGGGUAAGUUC